This 93-nucleotide ribosomal RNA is filed under the name Bacillus sp. OV322. The record is from RNAcentral. Lineage: Bacteria; Bacillati; Bacillota; Bacilli; Caryophanales; Bacillaceae.
ACACCCGUUCCCAUUCCGAACACGGCAGUUAAGCUCUUCAGCGCCGAUGGUAGUUGGGGGUUCUCCCCCUGUGAGAGUAGGACGCCGCCAAGC